AGAUAUCACAACAGAACACCAGAUUGCGUAGGCGGCUCACUAAGCUGCUCCUGACGCUGAGGCACGAAAAGCAUGGGGAGCGAACAGAAUUAGAUACCCUGGUAGUCCACGCUGUAAACGAAUGGAUCACUCGCGUUCGAGGAUACACUGCCAGCGGUUCAGCGAAAUGCAGCAUGUGAUCUACCUCGGGAGUAGGACCGCAAGGUGGCUACUCAUCAGAAUUGACGGGGGGGGGCACAAGCAGUAGAACAUGUGGUUUAUUUCAUUUGAUACGCGAGGAACCUUACCUGGGCUUAAAUGCAGAACGACGUACCGUGAAAACUAAUAUUCCCUUCGGGGCGGACUGCAAGGUGCAGCAUGGUUGUCGUCAGCUCGUGCUCGUGAGGUGUCGGGUUAAGUCCCAUAACGAGCGCAACCCUCAUCGUUAGUUGCCAGCGAAUAAUGUCGGGGACUCUCCCGAAACAACCGGGGUGAACCGUGAGGAAGGUGGGGAUGACGUCAAAUCAGCACGGCCGUGAUGUCCACGGCUACCCAUGGGCUGCAAAAUGCAGUACCGAGGGCAGGUGCCAGGCGAAUGGAUGCAAAUCUCCAACAGUGGUGUUAGUUGGGAUCAAAGUGCGCACCUGGACUUCGAGAAGCUGGAAUCCCUAGUUCUCCCGCAUCACGCAGAACGCGUUGACGGCGUUCCCACACCCCGCCCGCCCCGUCCGGCAAGCCAGUGACGCCUGGGGUAGGUGAACUCACCGCAAGGAAGCAUCCGCCUAAGGAAGACAAGUGACUGGGACGAAGUCGUAACAAG
RNAcentral lists this ribosomal RNA (799 nucleotides) under uncultured organism. RNAcentral's name for it is "bacterial SSU rRNA". It matches the Rfam family "Bacterial small subunit ribosomal RNA", at positions 692 to 1495 of the family's 1533-position model. The record is from RNAcentral.